CCUACGGGCGGCAGCAGUGGGGAAUAUUGCACAAUGGGGGAAACCCUGAUGCAGCGACGCCGCGUGAGGGAAGAAGGAAUUCGUUACGGAAAGCUCUAUCAGCAGGGAAGAAACACUGACCUUACGGUCAGCAGACGGUAUCUGAGUAAGAAGCGCCGGCUAACUACGGGCCAGCAGCCGCGGUAAAACGGAGGGGGCAAGCGUUAUCCGGAUUUAUUGGGUGUAAAGGGUGCGUAGGUGGUUUGACAAGUUGGUAGCGUAAAUCCGGGGCUCAACAUCGGAACUGCUACCCAAACUGUUGGACUCGAGUGCAGGAGGGGCAACUGGAAUGUCUAGUGUAGCGGUGGAAUGCUUAGAUAUUAGGAAGAACACCGGUGGCGAAGGCGGGUUGCUGGACUGUAACUGACACUGAGGCACGAAAGCGUGGGGAGCAAACAGGAUUAGAUACCCGUGUAGUC
This 458-nucleotide ribosomal RNA is filed under the name uncultured bacterium. RNAcentral describes it as "partial 16S ribosomal RNA". It matches the Rfam family "Bacterial small subunit ribosomal RNA", at positions 338 to 795 of the family's 1533-position model. The record is from RNAcentral.